GUCAGGCCGAACCCCUCUCUAGUCUCAUUGAGGGGCUGCAUGCCAUGAGGGAGCUUGUAUCCUUUGAAUUAUUUGGCAAACCCUGAUCCUUGGAGAAAGGGAAUCAAAACACUUCAACUGAAUAACUUACAAUUUGUGUCUGCCACUAUUAUCUGGAGUAUAGCAAGUUCAUCCUGGUACUCAGUAUGAUAAAUCACGCUGUCAGUGACUGCAAAAAUUAUUAAUGAUCUGAUGAGGAAACAGCAGCAAGAAGAAGUGCUCAUUGUGUCUGUGAAGGUAUGUUGCUUCUGCUGAUGCCUUUACAGAAGCAAACAUUUUCACAAAUGGUUGCCUGGCUUUCUCUGGGCUCCUCUGCUUUUCCAAGUCAGCUUAAUCUCUUCUGGCACGAGUUCUUUAUUAUUCAUUUAUAACUAAGUAAUACUCAUCAUGUAUCAAAAAAUCCAUCAAUUCUAGGCAUCGUCUCUUACAUUUGUAAGAUUCAGAGUAGUUAGAGACUGUUUAUUUCAGAGGCUUAUUUUCAUUUGUCAUAUUAUUUUGUUAAGGGCAUCUAUGUUUCUUGUUUGUCAGAAUUAAGGUCUCUGAAUUCUUAGUAUUUUUUGAUAUAUUUACUGGAAUAUGUUCUCUCUUGGCCAGCAGUGUUCAGAAAAUGUAUCCCAUUCGAUCUGGAAAAAAAUAAAUUGGAGAUUCAGUCACUAGCUGCAGAACUUACUGUCAUUGUCCUGCAGCAGUGAUUUACUUUCCUUCUAAGCUUUGGGCCGCAGGCAAAAACAGUUUUAGGUGUUUGUUUCCAAGUCCUCCAUCAAUUCAGAUAGUGUCCUCUGAUUGCUGAGAGACUGACUGGUGUGAUAACUGCUUGUGAUGAACAUUAGAAAUGUCAGACAACUUAGGCCGUAAGAGGCAUAACCUAGGAUUCCUUCUCAACAAGAAAACAUCCUGCUUCCUAACUGCUGCAGAAACUGAAUUCCUUCUUCAUCUUAAAUAUAAGCAAGAUAAGAAAAGGAACAAAAUGAUCUUGAUGAGAAAAGACACAAGAAAUAAAUUUGUCUUUUAAACUACAAACACAGUAAGAUGCCUAUCUGUCAUGCUGUUAUAUUUAUACAAUUUUGCAAUGAAUUAUGAUCUUUGAAGAUAUCGGAAGACUUGGAUCCCAGUACAUUAGCAAUUGUAUCUCUAUUUUUACCCACUUCAGAGCAUUAAACUAUUCUGAUUUUUAUCUGAAUCUGUUUUAUUCUCUGGCCUCCCACAGACUGUCAACUUUUAAUGGCAUUUGUUUCCUCAUUAAUGUCUGUAUUUGUACUCACAGACGUAUUGCAGUAAGUUUAUUUCCAAUUCAUGUUUGAAGCUGAAUUUAUCUAUCUAGGGAAGUAAGACUCUUACCUGUAAUUAGUAUUCAAGUAGGCCAAUUAUUUUAUACUUUAUAUUCAAAAAGAUUUCCCUACAUUCCAGAAGAAUUAAAUGCUUCAGUUUUCAUCUGUAAAACAAAAAGAUUAGUGGCAAUUGUACUGUGACUAUAAAAAUUAAACUGUCACUAAUAAAUUUGAAUCAAUUCAGUGUUCCAUCAUGGCAAUAGUGGUGCACACGUAUU
Molecule: non-coding RNA, 1585 nt
Organism: Meleagris gallopavo (turkey)
Lineage: Eukaryota; Metazoa; Chordata; Aves; Galliformes; Phasianidae
Source: RefSeq, a predicted model, not a curated record